GAUGAACGCUGGCGGCGUGCCUAACACAUGCAAGUCGAGCGAACAGACGAGGAGCUUGCUCCUCUGACGUUAGCGGCGGACGGGUGAGUAACACGUGGAUACCCUACCUAUAAGACUGGGAUAACUUCGGGAAACCGGAGCUAAUACCGGAUAAUAUAUUGAACCGCAUGGUUCAAUAGUGAAAGACGGUUUUGCUGUCACUUAUCGAUGGAUCCGAGCCGCAUUAGCUAGUUGGUAAGGUAACGGCUUACCAAGGCGACUAUGCGUAGCCGACCUGACAGGGUGAUCGGCCACACUGGAACUGAGACGCGGUCCAGACUCCUACGGGAGGCAGCAGUAGGGAAUCUUCCGCAAUGGGCGAAAGCCUGACAGAGCAACGCCGCGUGAGUGAUGAAGGUCUUCGGAUCGUAAAGCUCUGUUAUUAGGGAAGAACAAAUGUGUAAGUAACUAUGCACGUCUUGACGGUACCUAGUCAGGAAGCCACGGCUAACUACGUG
RNAcentral lists this ribosomal RNA (497 nucleotides) under uncultured bacterium. Its description in RNAcentral is "partial 16S ribosomal RNA". It matches the Rfam family "Bacterial small subunit ribosomal RNA", at positions 28 to 507 of the family's 1533-position model. The record is from RNAcentral.